RNAcentral lists this transfer RNA (73 nucleotides) under archaeon. RNAcentral describes it as "tRNA-Gln". It matches the Rfam family "tRNA". Rfam says of the family: Transfer RNA (tRNA) molecules are approximately 80 nucleotides in length. Their secondary structure includes four short double-helical elements and three loops (D, anti-codon, and T loops). The record is from RNAcentral.
AGCCUUGUAGUGUAGUGGCCAAUCAUCUGAGCCUCUGGAGCUUGGGACCCAGGUUCGAAUCCUGGCAAGGCUA